This is a long non-coding RNA of Coregonus clupeaformis (lake whitefish), 1850 nucleotides long. RefSeq lists it as uncharacterized. The record is from RefSeq and is a predicted model, not a curated record. The transcript has 4 exons. NCBI's taxonomy places the organism in Eukaryota, Metazoa, Chordata, Actinopteri, Salmoniformes, Salmonidae.
AACAGUGUGGCUCGCUUGUGGGUGUGCUGGCAGCAUAAAGCAGCUCUUCGAUUGUGCAUCAAGAAGUCAGCAUAGCAAGUUUGUAUGAAGGUCUGGUUAUUAAAUGGGUAAAUAGCUUUAUCCAUUCUCCAUUUCAUGAAUUUAUUCACAGGUAAAUAGUAAUAUGCUCUAAACCGCUCUGGUGACAAACUUUGCUGCCAUUAAUAAUUUAGUCAUUUAGCAGACGCUCUUAUCCAGAGCGACUUACAGUUAGUGAGUGCAUACAUUUUUCAUACUGACCCCCCGUGGGAAACGAACCCACAACCCUGGCGUUGCAAGCGCCAUGCUCUACCAACUAAGCUACGGGAGCUACCAAUCGUCCACAUGGCUGGGAGAACCUAUUCAAAUACAGAGAGCUGUGAAAGCCUGUCUGCAGAUGAAGAGGUCACAAUGAAAAGCAGUGGUUCUCAGUCCUGGUCCUGGGGACUCAAAGGGGUGCACAUUUUUUUUUUGCCUUAGCACUACACAGCUGGUUCAAAUGAUCAACUCAUCAUCAAGCUUCAAGUGAUACCUUGCAAUUGGAGAUUCCUUCAAAACGAUUGCCUAUAGUUACAAGGUUGGGUGACAAGGGCCAUUUGGGACUGCCUCCUGGGGGAAUUCAGGCGUGUGAAGGCUACCUGUGUCCUGCAUAACUUAAUGAGGAUGGACACGAGGACCAGGAGGGGAUCUGCAGCUCGCCGCCGUGUGCCAGAGGAGAGGUCUGCUGCUCUGCAGGAUGUUUCAAGGAUGGGGUCCAACAACGCAACAAGAGAGGCAAUCAAUCCGUGUGCGGGAGAUCUUCACCUCCUACUUAUUUGAAGAGGGUGUUGUUCCCUGGCAACACCAUAGACUACACUAUGCAUCUACAUUGCAAUAAGAGUAUUCUUCCAUUUAUUUAGCUAUGUCAACUGCAGUUAUUAAAUGCCCAGUUUCUCUCCCUUUGAUUUCUACUUCUCAGGUGAGGGUGCUGUUUAGGUAAGGGUGGUGUCUGUACAAAAACAAAACAGGCUAUUUUAAGUCACCCAUAUUGAAAAAAUUUAGAACAAUUACACACCCUAUAACCCACACCUACACACUCAUGUAUCAAUCUGAUUGAUGGAUUGUUGUGCAGUAAGCAGGCUCAGGUAUAUAACUGUGGCUCCUUCCACCUUCAAAGAGUAGGCAAGAGGACCAACCAUGGAGAAUAGUAAGACACUUCAUAUUUAUAUUUAUAUAACUACGCUAUAUUGUUUGUCCUCAUGUCUGUGCAUGUUUUUCAGUAUAAAGUACUCUGCAGCCACUUAGUGUGGACACCAGGUGAGACCACACACAUAUUCCUGUUGAACAUUGUCUCUUUAACUACCUUCUUUUCUCAAUAACAGUCUCUCCUUCACUUCAUUCCUCUCCCCCCUUCUCCCUAAAUCCUCUAGGUUAUAUCAGCUGUGUCGGUGAACCCCUGCCGCAUCUGAACUGGCUACAUAGAGGGCACAGCAUGAUCAGAGUCCCGUCAUCACCAUCAAACCCGCUCAAAAGAUAACAUUCGGGCCAACUGGGGGCCCAAGGCUGUUAGGAGACACCGCUAGAGACACUAUUAUGUAAUUGUGAUGAACUGAGAGAAUAUUAGGAUAGCACUGUAAUUCAUUAAUCAUAUGCUGUCUUCCCUGCUCCUCUGUUCUUACCUCUUUCCCUUUCUGUCUUUUACAGUCUUUCUUACACCUCUACCCACCUCCUCUUUCUUCCUCUGUUUUUAUAAUGCUCACCAGAUGUGCAUUGAAGUACAGAUUGAACUUGUAUUUAGAAUAUAAUAUUACAAUUAUAAUAUUUAUAAUGCAUGUAUUAUGUAUUUAUAACAC